Molecule: long non-coding RNA, 642 nt
Filed under: Ananas comosus (pineapple)
Lineage: Eukaryota; Viridiplantae; Streptophyta; Magnoliopsida; Poales; Bromeliaceae
Description: long non-coding RNA (ACOM_LNC007474)
Source: RNAcentral
UAGUUGUGUGAAUCACUAGGCAUCACGGACACUGGCACGAGAUACGAUACACGAUACGACUCGAACUCGGCGACUCGGCAGCUUUCAAAAAUUAAGACACGGACACAACAUGGACACCGCUAAUAAAAUAUAAUAUUAUUAAUAUAAUAAUAUAUAUUUAUUAUAUAUAAAAUAUUAAUUUUGAUAAAAUAUUGUUAUAUUUCUCAUACAAAUGAAAAGUUAGUAAAAUCUUUAUUAAUAAUUCAUAUAUUUUAAGAAAAAAAUUCUACAUCAUACAUAAUUUAUUUAUAUUGUCAAAAAAAUUUAUAUGCAUUCGUUAAAAAUUCGUCAAAAAGCUAAAAUAUUUAUCAUCUUAUAUUUAUAAUGCAUAAAAAAAGUAAAAUAAAAAUAUAAUAUUACUAUGGAUUAGCAUGAAACGUGCGUUUAAAUAGUGUCCAUAUCGGACACGUGUCUGACACGGACACGCAAGUGUCCCACACAAACACGCGAGGCUGAUAGAAGUGUCCGUGAUACAUAUAUAGGUGAGUCAUGCAAAGACUUUCUAGAAUGACUUUUAUAGAAAUAUCGCUGGUAAAUUACACCAUCGGUUAUAUUGUGUGAGUUUCACUUUGAUUUAUAAAUUUUAAAGGAUCGUUCAUUAAU